UGACAAAGAAUUGUCUCCUUCGUAAUAGC
RNAcentral lists this non-coding RNA (29 nucleotides) under Mus musculus (house mouse). Lineage: Eukaryota; Metazoa; Chordata; Mammalia; Rodentia; Muridae. The record is from RNAcentral.